UAGACCUGUGGUCAGCCCCCAAGAAAACAGGAGGCAGUACAGAGCCCCACAGCGGGGCUCCUCCAGCUGCCCCCCCCGCGAGGUCCUGGGGGCCACACAGCAGGCGUGGAGAGCCCCGUGGCCAUCUAUGGAGGGGAGAACGAGACACAGACUGGCACAGAGGAACGACCACGUGAGAACACAGGGAGGAGCCAGCCCCGUCCACACCUGGGUCUCAGACACCGGCGUCCAGCACUGGGAGACCAUAAACGUUCGUGCUUGUGGGUGUUGAAAUUCUCCAGAGAGCUGAUGAAGGAAUGGAUGCCGGAUGGACACGCACACGCACACACACGCCAGUUACACCCACUUGCCGCCCGGCAUCACCCCGCUCGGAGAGCCACACCAGCACGCACCUCGCCCCACCCAUGUGCCCAUCUGGAGUCAGGACACGACACCUGGCAGGCCGCGGGGUUCCGAUGGCCCUAGCCCGCCUGCACGCUCCCUCACAGCGAGAUCCAGAUCAGAAGGGCCGCUCUAACCCGGGGGGGGGGCUGCCAAGACCACCUCCCGGAGGACGCCCGGAAGCAUCCGCAGGAAGGGAGGCAGAGGGUGUCCUGCUCACACAGCGUCAGGCUGGGCGUCGUGCCUGACGCUCGCUGGCGGCCUCCUUUGUGGCGACUGCCGAUGGUACGGCAGAGCUGCUCAGAGACCCCAAGUUUGGCGGGGCUGGGGGUUAACAAGCAGACACCGCCUUGGAGAACACAUUGGCAGGUCCUCGCACGAUUUCACACAGGAAUUCCGCUCUCAGGUACGUACGUACCCGGGAGCACUGAACAUGGGUCCAAACAAAGCUUACAUACGACUGCACGGCUGGGCUGCUCACAGCCCCCCAAAGGUGGAAAGAGCCCGAGAGCCCACCAAUGCUUUCACAGACACACCGUGGUCCAUCCACACAAUGGGACCGGCGGGGAGGGUCAGCCACCAAGGGGAACGAAGCCGGGACACGUGCUACAAUGUGGACCCAGCUGGUGGACGUGACACUGAGACGGAACCACGUGGUGAGGGAGUCCACCUCUAUGCAACGCCCAGAAGAGGCAAAUCC
This is a long non-coding RNA of Ailuropoda melanoleuca (giant panda), 1081 nucleotides long. RefSeq lists it as uncharacterized. The record is from RefSeq and is a predicted model, not a curated record. The transcript has 3 exons. NCBI's taxonomy places the organism in Eukaryota, Metazoa, Chordata, Mammalia, Carnivora, Ursidae.